Molecule: long non-coding RNA, 523 nt
Organism: Rhinichthys klamathensis goyatoka
Lineage: Eukaryota; Metazoa; Chordata; Actinopteri; Cypriniformes; Leuciscidae
Exons: 2
Source: RefSeq, a predicted model, not a curated record
GGAAUUAUUUCUCAAACCGUAUUCACUUUAUAGCCCUUAAUCCUGUAAUUGUGGACAAAUGUGGGCACAGAGGACUCAGGUGUGAUCCUAAUUUUUAUGUAUUAUAAAUGUUAUAUCACUGUCUUCGAUAAAGUUUUGUCUAUCCAUUUAUGGUGUUUAUUUUGGGGGUAUUUUUGAAUUUAUUUACUUCAAAAAGUACUAUAUUUUCUAUGUAAAUUAUGCUUAUUUUUAUGUUUUAUUUUUUUAACUACAUUAAAAUAUUCCAAUAAGUUCUUAGAGCUAAAACCUAAAGAUGAAGUGACUUUGCUGUCACCUGGUGUCUUAUUUUGAAGAAUGCUCUAAAUUACAGUUUUCCCAUUCAUUUCUAUGGGUGCCCAUUUUUGACCCAAAUACAAGAUUAAGGAGUUUUUUUUUUCACCCACUUAACAUUGUAGAAUUGAGUCAAAAAAUGUUUUGUGUGUUCAGGAGGCAAACUUAGGAAAAGUAGCCAAGUCUUGUACCGCUCGGAUCAAGGGAAGUAUUU